RNAcentral lists this ribosomal RNA (425 nucleotides) under uncultured bacterium. Its description in RNAcentral is "bacterial SSU rRNA". It matches the Rfam family "Bacterial small subunit ribosomal RNA", at positions 355 to 796 of the family's 1533-position model. The record is from RNAcentral.
UAAGGGAUAUUGCGCAAUGGGCGAAAGCCUGACGCAGCAACGCCGCGUGGAGGAUGAAGGCCCUCGGGUCGUAAACUCCUUUGGACGGAGACGAGGAAGGACGGUAUCCGUCGAACAAGUCACGGCUAACUACGUGCCAGCAGCCGCGGUAAAACGUAGGUGGCAAGCGUUAUCCGGAUUUACUGGGCGUAAAGCGUGUGCAGGCUGUUCACCAAGUGGUGUAUGAAAUCGCUCAGCUCAACUGGGCGCGGUUAUGCCAGACUGGUGGACUGGAGUCUGAAAGAGGGUGGUGGAAUUCCGGGUGUAGUGGUGAAAUGCGUAGAGAUCCGGAGGAACCCCAGAGGCGAAGGCGGCCACCUGGUUCAGCACUGACGCUCAGACACGACAGCAUGGGGAGCGAACGGGAUUAGAUACCCCGGUAGUCC